Daphnia pulicaria is the source of this 1258-nucleotide long non-coding RNA. RefSeq lists it as uncharacterized. The record is from RefSeq and is a predicted model, not a curated record. The transcript is spliced from 7 exons. NCBI's taxonomy places the organism in Eukaryota, Metazoa, Arthropoda, Branchiopoda, Diplostraca, Daphniidae.
AUUGGGCAGUAGUGCAGUAUCAUGUUGGCGCAGUACUAUCGUUAUCGUUACCAGAUCGUUACCAGGUUUACCACAAUUCUCAACGUUCGUUUGCAUCAAGUGUGGUCCAGGUUUUUGGCGCUAUGACGUAACUAUGAGUCAACAAGAAGUUAUUUUAUUGAACCCAAAUUUUAGAUCUCAUGAUCUGAUCGUGAUUCAAAGCAAGCAUGGUAUACCGGUAUACCAUUCCAUCGAUCUUAUAUUGUGAUGAUAUAUUGAGCUAUGUGAUAGGCCUACUUGAAAAUGGCUAUAAACUAUAAUUUGAAAUAAAGUAGUCAUGAGACUGAUGCUGCUGGUGUUGGAGCGAUCAAGAGGCCAAGCCUAACUCUUUCGACAUUCAUAAAUCUUUCUAUUUAGCAGCCACCAGGGGCCUUUGAAUUUCUAUCCAUCAGGUGGCAACGACGGAUGUCAAUAACAAAUUUGCUUCCGUCAAAUGAUCCUGUGAGUCAACUCUAAUCAGCUGAGAGCCUGCAGACUGCAGGUGACUGUUUGCUUCCUGAAGUUUAUGUCAAAAUGCUUCGACCAGCAAUUUAUUCAGUUGAAACAUUUCAAGUUGGAUUUCACCAUAAACUUGUUACUGAUUUGGUAAUAGUUUUCCCCCCAUCCCUGUCUAGUACCGUGAUGAUAGGUGCCAUCAGGUAAAUAACUAUUUAACAAUCAAUUGUAUUAAAGAAGUUUUCGUUUUCUUGUACAAGUAAAAAACAAAUAUUAACUUUGACAAUCUAUUAUUAAUCUUCAAUUCAUGCUUAGAUGUGUUUGCACCAUAUUUUACUUUGCAUCACAAAUUUUACAAUGAUAUUUCUAACAAAAAUGUAUGUUUUAUAAAUUUUACUAGGGAAUUUCCAGUUUGGCAGUCUCCAAAAUGUGGUGCCCAGGCCAAUUCAGUUCUGUGGAAACUCAACUGACCAGAACCCUCUAGCCAUGGCUGAUAUAGGCUACAAGAACAUUUUGAAGCUUUAAAAACUAACCAUCAUUUGCGUCACAAUCCCAUCCAUUUAAUGACUGCUUAUCUUGCAAAGUCUUUUUCUUCAAGUUGGUCGCUUUACAUAUAAAAGAAAACUUGGUCAUCUUGAGAUGGAAUAUGACGGCAGCGUGCAAUCGCCAAAGGUCUGGGGAAUGACAUGGAAAUGCAUUUUUCACCAAAAUGAGCGAACAGAAAUGAACCAUUUCCCAUUGUCUCGUCGGUUCCAUGAUUUUUGGCUUUCUCACACGGAUCUGC